This 278-nucleotide long non-coding RNA is filed under the name Hordeum vulgare. RNAcentral describes it as "long non-coding RNA (HVUL_LNC021306)". The record is from RNAcentral. Lineage: Eukaryota; Viridiplantae; Streptophyta; Magnoliopsida; Poales; Poaceae.
UCUCAUUAGAAGAUUACAUACGAAACAAAAUGAGUAAAUCUACACUUAAAUAUACAAUCGUAUAUAGUUCUUAUAUUAAGAAACGGGGGAGUAUAUACCAAGCGCAACCAUAAGGGUAAGGCCUUGUUUGGAAUGUCUCUUUUUGUCAAGUACAUUUGUAAAAAUAAUACACACCUCCAUUCAUCGGUUUAGUUUUGAGCCGGUUUUAUACUUAUGACCGGUAUAAUACCUAUGUAAAAUAUUACACUUGUAAAAAUAAAACGGCAUUCCAAACAGGC